AAAAAAAAGAAACAAAAGAUAAUUCGACGAACCUGGAAAUCUGUUGAAGGUAACAUCGAGCUCCAAGCGACCCAGGAGAGGCUGGCUCUCCCGGUCGAUCCCGGAGGAAUCUAUGGCUAGGGUUUGGUCGUUGCUCAGACCGGGAAUGAACUCGACGUCAGGCAGAAGAUCCGCAGGCGGUGGCGGCGGCGGAGGCGGUGGAGGUGGCGUUAACUGUCGCUCGUUCUGCGACGACAGACGCGGUUGCUGCUGCUGAUGGUGAUGGCUGCUGCUGCUGUUGCCGAUGGACAGAUCCACCAGGGCAUCGGUCUCCACGAGAGUGACCGCGGGACCGGUGAUGCUGUUCUGACUCUGGUACUCUCGAUAAGGCACGUGCAAUUGCCGCUGUUCCGAGUCGCUCAUUACAGGAUUGAUCCUGAUCGGUGCCGAAGUCGACGACCUUCUUAAUCUUUCAGUUUACCACCUCGACGACUCGAGCCUGUCUAUACCUUGCGACAUGCCCGCGAGCUCUCCUCGUUUCCGCGUGUUCCUCGUCCUCGGUUCUUCUACCUCGAUAACGCAGUUCCGUCUCGUGCCAACGUAAUGACAGAUGCAUCAGCAUAUCCUAUGCGUCUAUGCGUCAUCCAGAUCACUGUCUCAUGUAUUGUGUAUGUACGUACGUAUUGUGGACUAGAGGAAUACGCGACUUGUGGUCAUCGAUGUUGACAGGGAAGGGGACACUUGCUCCGAUUUGACUGAUUAACCAAAUUUUCAUCCGUCAUCCCAACCGCGGACACUAUCAGCUGAUAGGAUUACCGCCAUACUUGUACGACGCGUAUGCACUUUUCUCUCUCUCUCUCUCUCUUUCUUAUGUUAUAUGUGUAUAUACUGCGGUAUACUCUUAACGUCAUUGCGAAAUUAUCAUUGAUCUUCAACCGCGGGAAUUUUUUAAUGCCAGAGAAUAAAGAUAUGACAAGAUAUGUUGACAAGUGCGAGUGCACUUUGAGAAUAGAUUAAAGAUUAUCUUCCGUUUUUCUUUCAAUUUUCUCAAUCCGAGCACCUAUACGAAGAGCGAAAACGGGCGAAGCAGAGGAUCAGUUAUACACUAUUUCAUCUUUAGAUUUUAGAUAUCGAGCGUCGUUUCCUUGGUGUUAAAUUCAGUCCUUCAUAGCUCACACUCGAGCUGUACAAUAUGUUUUCUGAAAGCAAACAUGCUAAUUUAGUUUUAAAUUACAAUUGAGCAAUGAGAAUUUUAACAUCUUAAAAUAUUGAAAAUUGCAACAAACCUCUUGAACGUUUUAGAUUCAAGGGCGACAAUGGUUUUCCAUUCACCAAAACCUGCUUACGCUUAAUGGAAUGUUUACAGGGAGAUAGCCAUCCACUCAUAUUGCUCCAAGAAUUGUUGAAGUCUGAUAAUGCUGUAGACAACUCGUGGGAUGGACGAUAUUUUUGUGCACGAUAUCUUUUAAAUAAAUCCUUAUCUGGAAAUUAUUAACAA
This is a non-coding RNA of Nylanderia fulva, 1477 nucleotides long. The record is from RefSeq and is a predicted model, not a curated record. NCBI's taxonomy places the organism in Eukaryota, Metazoa, Arthropoda, Insecta, Hymenoptera, Formicidae.